AGAGUUUGAUUAUGGCUCAGGACGAACGCUGGCGGCGUGCCUAAUACAUGCAAGUCGAGCGAAGUUUUUCUGGUGCUUGCACUAGAAAAACUUAGCGGCGAACGGGUGAGUAACACGUAAAGAACCUGCCUCAUAGACUGGGACAACUAUUGGAAACGAUAGCUAAUACCGGAUAACAGUAUUUCUCGCAUGAGAGAUAUUUAAAAGUUGGUUAUGCUAACACUAUGAGAUGGCUUUGCGGUGCAUUAGCUAGUUGGUGGGGUAAAGGCCCACCAAGGCGACGAUGCAUAGCCGACCUGAGAGGGUGAUCGGCCACACUGGGACUGAGACACGGCCCAG
RNAcentral lists this ribosomal RNA (339 nucleotides) under uncultured bacterium. RNAcentral's name for it is "bacterial SSU rRNA". It matches the Rfam family "Bacterial small subunit ribosomal RNA", at positions 8 to 334 of the family's 1533-position model. The record is from RNAcentral.